This 567-nucleotide ribosomal RNA is filed under the name Providencia stuartii. RNAcentral describes it as "Bacterial small subunit ribosomal RNA". It matches the Rfam family "Bacterial small subunit ribosomal RNA", at positions 750 to 1318 of the family's 1533-position model. The record is from Rfam by way of RNAcentral. Lineage: Bacteria; Pseudomonadati; Pseudomonadota; Gammaproteobacteria; Enterobacterales; Morganellaceae.
GGUGCGAAAGCGUGGGGAGCAAACAGGAUUAGAUACCCUGGUAGUCCACGCUGUAAACGAUGUCGAUUUGGAGGUUGUGCCCUUGAGGCGUGGCUUCCGGAGCUAACGCGUUAAAUCGACCGCCUGGGGAGUACGGCCGCAAGGUUAAAACUCAAAUGAAUUGACGGGGGCCCGCACAAGCGGUGGAGCAUGUGGUUUAAUUCGAUGCAACGCGAAGAACCUUACCUACUCUUGACAUCCAGAGAAUUUAGCAGAGAUGCUUUAGUGCCUUCGGGAACUCUGAGACAGGUGCUGCAUGGCUGUCGUCAGCUCGUGUUGUGAAAUGUUGGGUUAAGUCCCGCAACGAGCGCAACCCUUAUCCUUUGUUGCCAGCGAUUCGGUCGGGAACUCAAAGGAGACUGCCGGUGAUAAACCGGAGGAAGGUGGGGAUGACGUCAAGUAUCAUGGCCCUUACGAGUAGGGCUACACACGUGCUACAAUGGCGUAUACAAAGAGAAGCGACCUCGCGAGAGCAAGCGGAACUCAUAAAGUACGUCGUAGUCCGGAUUGGAGUCUGCAACUCGACUC